GAUCAUGGCUCAGGACGAACGCUGGCGGCGCGCCUAACACAUGCAAGUCGAACGAGAGAGAGGAAGCUUGCUUCCUCAAUCGAGUGGCGAACGGGUGAGUAACGCGUGAGGAACCUGCCUCAAAGAGGGGGACAACAGUUGGAAACGACUGCUAAUACCGCAUAAGCCCACGACCCGGCAUCGGGUUGAGGGAAAAAGGAGCAAUCCGCUUUGAGAUGGCCUCGCGUCCGAUUAGCUGGUUGGUG
Molecule: ribosomal RNA, 245 nt
Filed under: uncultured bacterium
Lineage: Bacteria
Description: partial 16S ribosomal RNA
Rfam family: Bacterial small subunit ribosomal RNA
Source: RNAcentral